GCCAGGUGAUCAGCCUAUUGUACCCUGCGUUGUGCACAAGUAUUAAGUUUUAAGCUGCAUAAGCGAAAUGGGACUAUUUGCCCGACAUCUAUUUGCCCGUUUAUUCGGGUUGUUCAUCUUAGUAAUCAUGUGAGACCGCACCAAAGGAAUUUGGAUUGGUAAACAUUUAAUAGCUUCGAAAGAUUUGUUUUAAAUAACUUUUUCCAUCAAUAAUAACUAGCCGGAAACAAAGGCCAGGAACAUAC
This 245-nucleotide long non-coding RNA is filed under the name Panax ginseng (ginseng). RNAcentral describes it as "long non-coding RNA (PGIN_LNC010704)". The record is from RNAcentral. Lineage: Eukaryota; Viridiplantae; Streptophyta; Magnoliopsida; Apiales; Araliaceae.